RNAcentral lists this ribosomal RNA (384 nucleotides) under uncultured bacterium. RNAcentral describes it as "bacterial SSU rRNA". It matches the Rfam family "Bacterial small subunit ribosomal RNA", at positions 28 to 416 of the family's 1533-position model. The record is from RNAcentral.
GACGAACGCUGGCGGCGUGCUUAACACAUGCAAGUCGAGCGGUAAGGCCCUUUUGGGGGUACACGAGCGGCGAACGGGUGAGUAACACGUGGGUGACCUGCCCUCAGCUCUGGGAUAAGCCUGGGAAACUGGGUCUAAUACUGGAUAUGACCUUUCCUCGCAUGGGGUUGGGUGGGAAGUUUUUCGGCUGGGGAUGGGCCCGCGGCCUAUCAGCUUGUUGGUGGGGUGAUGGCCUACCAAGGCGACGACGGGUAGCCGGCCUGAGAGGGCGACCGGCCACACUGGGACUGAGACACGGCCCAGACUCCUACGGGAGGCAGCAGUGGGGAAUAUUGCGCAAUGGGCGGAAGCCUGACGCAGCGACGCCGCGUGGGGAUGACGGCC